Molecule: ribosomal RNA, 253 nt
Filed under: uncultured bacterium
Lineage: Bacteria
Description: partial 16S ribosomal RNA
Rfam family: Bacterial small subunit ribosomal RNA
Source: RNAcentral
AACGUAGGACGCAAGCGUUAUCCGGAGUUACUGGGCGUAAAGCGCGGGCAGGCGGCUCGAAACGUCUGAUGUGAAAACUCGAGGCUCAACCUCGAGACGUCGGCGGAAACCAUCUGGCUAGAGUCCGGAAGAGGAGAGUGGAAUUCCUGGUGUAGCGGUGAAAUGCGCAGAUAUCAGGAAGAACACCCGUGGCGAAGGCGGCUCUCUGGGACGGUACUGACGCUGAGACGCGAAAGCGUGGGGAGCGAACAGG